AGGUCCGGACACACUGAGGAUUGACAGAUAUACGCUCAUUGCUGCGUGCUUCGGCGCGUGCUUUGAGCUGAAAGAUGCUAGUUCUUUCAUGAUUAUGUGAUAGGUGGUGCAUGGCCGUUCUUAGUUCGUGGAGUGAUCUGUCUGCUUAAUUGCGUAUCAAUAAUAGAGACCUAGUAUACGCGUGGAUUUCGCGUGGUAGUGACCCCCUGUUUAACGACAGGCGUGUGUCGCACACGCGUACCUACGCACUGGUCUCAGAUAGCAACGAACGUGACCGUAUUCUAUUGUUGCAGUGAAAUGUGCCUUCUGGGUACGACCCACUGCUUAGUAUAUGUACGUGCUUCGGCGCGAACAAUAUACAUUAAACUAUAGAGACCGCUGUUUCUUCUUUAAACCAGAGGAAGGAUACGGCAAUAACAGGUCUGUGAUGCCCUCAGAUGUUCCGGGCUGCACACGUGCUACAAUGAUCAUUGCACUGUGCAUCUAACCCAAUGUGCGUGGACGCCGCAUGCAUGUGCCUUCGGGUACACGCAUUGCUGUUGCGACCACGCCGAACCUACUUCGAAAGUAAAAUUUCUCAGUGGGU
This 586-nucleotide ribosomal RNA is filed under the name Ammonia sp. genotype T2. RNAcentral's name for it is "bacterial SSU rRNA". The stretch from base 1 to 462 matches the Rfam family "Eukaryotic small subunit ribosomal RNA", at positions 1220 to 1501 of the family's 1831-position model. The record is from RNAcentral. Lineage: Eukaryota; Foraminifera; Rotaliida; Rotaliidae.